This 420-nucleotide ribosomal RNA is filed under the name uncultured bacterium. RNAcentral describes it as "partial 16S ribosomal RNA". It matches the Rfam family "Bacterial small subunit ribosomal RNA", at positions 362 to 774 of the family's 1533-position model. The record is from RNAcentral.
UAUUGGACAAUGGGGGCAACCCUGAUCUAGCCAUGCCGCGUGUGUGAAGAAGGUCUUCGGAUUGUAAAGCACUUUAAGUUGGGAGGAAGGGCUUUAGGCUAAUACCCUGAAGUUUUGACGUUCCCACCAGAAGAAGCCCCGGCUAACUCUGUGCCCGCAGCCGCGGUACUCAAGAGGGUGCAAGCGUUAAUCGGAAUUACUGGGCGUAAAGCGCGCGUAGGUGGUUCAGUAAGAUGGGUGUGAAAUCCCCGGGCUUAACCUGGGAACUGCUUUCAUAACUGCUGAGCUAGAGUACGGUAGAGGGUAGUGGAAGUUCCUGUGUAGCGGUGAAAUGCGUAGAUAUAGGAAGGAACACCAGUGGCGAAGGCGACUACCUGGACUGAUACUGACACUGAGGUGCGAAAGCGUGGGGAGCAAACA